This 175-nucleotide unclassified non-coding RNA is filed under the name uncultured fungus. RNAcentral describes it as "sequence contains ITS1". The record is from RNAcentral. Lineage: Eukaryota; Fungi.
CAUGGCGGAGAAGGUGGGCACCUGGUAACCCCUAGGUGUGAUGCCUUCACGCAUUCUACCCUUGUCUAUUUGCACCUUUGUCGUUCCCUCGGUGGGUCUUGUACCUACCGGCGGCAACUUUCAAAACCUCUUGCAGUUAGUAUCUAAUUCUUCUGAUCAAAAAUAUCAAUCGUUA